AUGACGGUGGUCAUGGGUCGGCGCCAGUGCGCUCACUGGAUGCUGCUGCUCUUCUGUUGCCUCCUCCUCACGUCCCCCUCACAUGGUCAUCGUCACCAUCGACCCGCUGACGCGUUUGUCGGGGCAUACGGGAUAAACUACGGGAGAAUAGCGAACAACCUCCCGUCCCCGGACAAGGUGGUGGAGCUCCUCAGGAGGUCCAAGAUAAGGAAUGUCAAGAUAUAUAAUGAAGAUCACGCUGUGCUCGAUGCGUUCAAAGGGACAGGGCUCAACCUGGUCAUUGCUAUCAACAAUGGGUUGCUGAAUGCUCUUGCUGCCAAUGAGAGCGUUGCGAUUGACUGGCUGAAUGAGAACGUGAAGCCUUACAUUUCUCAUACACGCAUCGUUGGAAUCACUGUGGGGAAUGAGGUGCUGGGAGGCGAUCCGAGCUUGGCCGCUCCGCUCGUUGGAGCUGUUAAGAAUAUGUACGAUGGUCUCAAGAAACUGCAUCUGGAUGACAAAAUUGAGCUUUUCACACCCCACUCUGAAGCUGUGUUCGCUACUUCCUAUCCACCCUCUGCAUGUGUUUUCAAGGAAGAAAUCAUGGUGUAUAUGAAGCCACUGCUGGACUUGUUUUCACGGAUCGGCUCACCUUUCUAUGUCAAUGCAUAUCCCUUUUUGGCUUACUUAACUGAUCCGGGACAGAUCGACAUUAAUUAUGCUCUCUUUCAGCCCAACCCUGGAAUAGUUGAUCCGAAUACUAGUCUGCACUAUGACAACAUGUUUGAUGCGCAGAUAGAUGCAGCUUACGCUGCUCUGCAGGCUGUUGGUUAUAAUGACAUGGAAGUCCGGGUGGCAGAGACUGGCUGGGCUUCUAGUGGAGAUCCAAAUCAAGCAGGAGCAUCAGUUGAGAAUGCAAGGACUUACAAUUACAACCUCCGUAAGAGGCUCUUUUUGAGGAAGGGAACUCCUCUCAAGCCAAAGAUACCGGUCAAAGCAUACAUCUUUGCCUUGUUUAAUGAGAACUUGAAGAAUGGAGAUCCUACUGAGAAGCACUAUGGGCUCUUCAAUCCAGAUGGAAGGAUUUCAUAUGAUAUCGGUUACUCAGGUCUAUUACCUUCAUCAGCACCCGCAUCCUUGCUGUCAAUUAAGGAGAUGCGAGCCUGGGGUUGGAUUGCACACUAUUCGGCUGCAGUUAUCCUAGCUAUUUUCUUGUUUUAG
This 1200-nucleotide ribosomal RNA is filed under the name Triticum aestivum (bread wheat). RNAcentral describes it as "partial small subunit ribosomal RNA". Lineage: Eukaryota; Viridiplantae; Streptophyta; Magnoliopsida; Poales; Poaceae. The record is from RNAcentral.